GCUUGUCUCAAAGAUUAAGCCAUGCAUGUCUAAGUAUAAACGACUUUAUACUGUGAAACUGCGAAUGGCUCAUUAUAUCAGUUAUAGUUUAUUUGAUGGUCGUUCCUUACAUGGAUAACUGUGGUAAUUCUAGAGCUAAUACAUGCACCCAUGCCCGACUUUGUGGAAGGGUUGUGUUUAUUAGUUACAGAACCAACCCAGGCUCUGCCUGGUCUUGUGGUGAUUCAUAAUAACCGAACGAAUCGUAUGGCAUCAGCUGGCGAUGAAUCAUUCAAGUUUCUGACCUAUCAGCUUCCGACGGUAGGGUAUUGGCCUACCGUGGCAAUGACGGGUAACGGAGAAUUAGGGUUCGAUUCCGGAGAGGGAGCCUGAGAAACGGCUACCACAUCUAAGGAAGGCAGCAGG
RNAcentral lists this ribosomal RNA (405 nucleotides) under Azadinium dalianense. Its description in RNAcentral is "partial small subunit ribosomal RNA". It matches the Rfam family "Eukaryotic small subunit ribosomal RNA", at positions 30 to 432 of the family's 1831-position model. The record is from RNAcentral. Lineage: Eukaryota; Dinophyceae; Gonyaulacales; Amphidomataceae.